Molecule: ribosomal RNA, 253 nt
Filed under: uncultured bacterium
Lineage: Bacteria
Description: partial 16S ribosomal RNA
Rfam family: Bacterial small subunit ribosomal RNA
Source: RNAcentral
UACAGAGGGUGCGAGCGUUGUCCGGAAUUACUGGGUGUAAAGCGCGUGUAGGCGGGAGGCCAAGUCUGUGGUGAAAUCGCUCGGCUUAACUGGGCGGGGUCCAUGGAAACUGGUCACCUGGAGGUCGGUAGAGGCAAGUGGAAUUCCCGGUGUAGUGGUGAAAUGCGUAGAGAUCGGGAGGAACACCAGUGGCGAAGGCGGCUUGCUGGGCCGGACCUGACGCUGAGACGCGAAGGCGUGGGGAGCGAACGGG